Molecule: long non-coding RNA, 1016 nt
Organism: Alosa sapidissima (American shad)
Lineage: Eukaryota; Metazoa; Chordata; Actinopteri; Clupeiformes; Clupeidae
Exons: 4
Source: RefSeq, a predicted model, not a curated record
ACCGGGAACAGCACCCGUCAAGUACUUUGUAAAUGAAAAUAUGAUAUGAGAACAGCUCCCUGAUGAAAACAGCCCUUUUGUCUAUAUUUGUGUUUGAUGGUUCCACUCGGAGGCAUCCCUUUGGGGGACACAAGUGGACACACAGUUCUGGUUCUGUCCUUUCCCCGGAAGAAUAAGGGAGUUCCUUUCCAACCUCCCAGGGGGAAGAGGAAGUGAGGAACUUGUUUACCUCACGUCAGCCGCUGCACACUACACCUGAGGCUUGGAUCCUGAAGCCUGCGUUGCUAUUGGGCGCAGGAGAGCCUCCGGUUGCCUGGAGACACAGCGGAGCAGCUCAGGACACUGUGAAACAUAAGCCUCCAGACCAGGCAUGGCCAACAGGCUAACAACUCUCACACACGCAGACACUUGGACACACAAGGAAAUGGGGCAAUGACACAAAGAGUAAUGGAGGCCGCAUGGUCAGAACACAACAUAAGCCCAUGAGUAGCCCAAAUCAGCUGUGGCAAAGAGGCGUGGAAGCCUUAUGGGCACGAGGCAGCUACAGGAUGAACCCGAGCAAUGAGCUGUAUCAGCCACACAUGCCACAAGGCCUCGCUCUGCACUCCUGCAUCCUUCCUGAAGCUUCCCCUGGAGAGAAUAUCUGAGAUGUGGAGUGGAGUGAGGAGGAAAGCAGGAAGUGCCUCUGCUCACACCCUCCGCAAAUAACAAUCUGCACACGCCAUGUCCGGAACAGCCUGCAACAGCAGAGAAAACAAACGCAGACCCAGCAACCCACCUAGAACCAGGGAAAAGCCGGGGAUACAACGCGCUCAACUCUACAACUCUAAUAUACACACACACAAACACAGGGGACGUUGUGAAGUCAUAGUGCGUGUGCGUUACAUUUUUCCCUAAACCUAAUUAAAAAUUGUCUGUUCCCUGACUCUUUUGCUAUGUAUAAUCCCUGAUUUAGGCCUAUGUAAAAAAAACUAAUAGAAUGGAAAAGUUUCUUCAAAAUGUACAAUUCAUUUAUU